CACACACACAUAUAAAUACACACAUGUGUGUGUGUGUAUGUGUAUAUACAUAUGUGUAUAUGUGUGUGUGUGUGUGUG
Molecule: non-coding RNA, 78 nt
Organism: Podarcis lilfordi (Lilford's wall lizard)
Lineage: Eukaryota; Metazoa; Chordata; Lepidosauria; Squamata; Lacertidae
Source: the annotation of a GenBank genome assembly